AAGAGAGUUCACAAGUGCGUGAAACUGCACACUGCAAAGCGAAUGACUGGACAUCAUUAAGUGCGAUCUGCCAUGUGUCUAGCACUGGGUACGUGAGAGUAAGCUGUGUUCUACUCAUGUUCUGUCUCUCUCGCGAGGUACCUUAGUGCAAAGAUGCGCAUCUGAUUGUGUCUUCGGCUGCUCGCUGGGUUGGCAAGAGUGAUGGUCGCUGCCGAACAAGAGUUCCGUCAAGGGGCUYUCUGUACUAGUGGCG
RNAcentral lists this ribosomal RNA (253 nucleotides) under Corynosoma hannae. Its description in RNAcentral is "partial large subunit ribosomal RNA". The record is from RNAcentral. Lineage: Eukaryota; Metazoa; Acanthocephala; Palaeacanthocephala; Polymorphida; Polymorphidae.